CCUACGGGAGGCUGCAGUGAGGAAUAUUGGUCAAUGGUCGGGAGACUGAACCAGCCAAGCCGCGUGAGGGAUGAAGGUACAGAGUAUCGUAAACCUCUUUUGUCAGGGAACAAAGGCGGGGACGUGUCCCAGGAUGAGUGUACCUGAAGAAAAAGCAUCGGCUAACUCCGUGCCAGCCGCCGCGGUAGUACGGAGGAUGCGAGCGUUAUCCGGAUAUAUUGGGUUAACAGGGUGCGCAGGCGGUCUGUUAAGUCAGCGGUCAAAGCACGGGGCUCAACCCCGGCCCGCCGUUGAAACUGGCAGUCUCGAGUUGGAGAGAAGUAUGCGGAAUGCGCGGUGUAGCGGUGAAAUGCAUAGAUAUCGCGCAGAACUCCGAUUGCGAAGGCAGCAUGCCGGCUCCACACUGACGCUGAGGCACGAAAGCGUGGGUAUCGAACAGGAUUAGAUACCCGUGUAGUC
Molecule: ribosomal RNA, 459 nt
Filed under: uncultured bacterium
Lineage: Bacteria
Description: partial 16S ribosomal RNA
Rfam family: Bacterial small subunit ribosomal RNA
Source: RNAcentral